UAAUAAAGCCCCGCCCACUUUUUUUUGCUCGGUUGUGUCGCUUUGGUGCACCUGAACUGAUUGAUGUAGGGUUUCGACCAUUUUGUGAACGAAUAAUGGUGUUUUUUCUACCCUCAUGUUGCUACUGUGAAAUUUCUGGAAUUCCUUUAGGCCUGCAGACGUUUUCUUGUCCUUCCUGUUGCUGACCCGGGACCUUGGAGGAUCUUCCCAACUCUUCUCUUCAGCAAGCUACGUCCCUGCAGUGUGUACCUACCUUUUUGCAUGCUAAACCACUGGUGUCUGAGAUGCCCUUGUGGGAGCGGGCCAUCAUCACACCCCUAUGUGACGUGCAGGCUUUCACAGCGUGCUUUGUGUAAGGGGGUGGUGGUGAUGCUGAAUAAACCUCCCGUUCGACAUUUGAUGACUCCUAAGGAGAAUGUGGAAGGUUGCUGAUGCACACUGAAGAAAAUGCAGCAGCAAUAGAAUCCAAAAAUGAAGAACAUCUCCUCAGAGCUCCACUGACAUUCAGCAAACACAGUGAACUUGUACAGCGAAAGUGAUUGACAUCCCAGUCCAGAGCAUGUCGGUGUACGUGCAGUCAAGUUUGGCAGACGACGCCUCCUUUCUCGCUCAGGAAAACAUCAGCGUGUGAGUGACAGAAAUCAUCUUUAAUAUACGUCUCUCUUUGGACAUGCAUGCAAACAGUGCACGGAUGCAUGUGCACACACUGGAAUGGUGUUACAUCAAUAGACAGACCGUCGGGGAGUGAAAUGUUCAAAGUUCAAGUAUAAAAUAUGUCCUCCAGACUGCUGGAACAUGUCCAGGUUGUACUCGCCGCCUUGUUUUGUCUCCCUCCAUACAUCUCCUUCUUUUGGCACAUCAUACUCUUGCUGUUUUCAAACACACAUACACACACAAACAAAGCGCACAAGCACUGAAUAAUGGAUGAACCCAGUGACACUAUGAUGAUGCUUUUUUUUUUUACAGCUAUACAAAGUCGUCCUUUAAAGGGUUGUCCCUCUUAUGCUGCCUAGAGUUCACAUUUUGUCACUUGACAUUUACAGAGAGGUUUAUGACGGCCCUAAGCUCUGAUGUCUCACUGCCGCUGACACUGAAUCCAAACUCUGUGGACACCGACACAGACAGCACCUGAGGGCCUGAAACGGAGCAGAACACAAGUUUCAUAUAUGGGCUCAGACUUGAGGUCCAACUGAGAGGCUGUUACCUCAGUCUACUUUCUAAAACAAGAAAUGAUACAUACAUACACUAGAUCUGAACUAUAAAACUUCUGCAGUUUCUGUCCAAAGUCACUUAAUUUAUUCUAAGAGCUACAGGUCAGGAUAUCUUUGAUAGCUUUGAUUUCUGCCCCUAAAUUUGUGAAUGCACGGUACUGAAUUGGUGCAGUGCCCUUUUAAUGAAGACAUUACUGAAUUUUAAUUUGAUUGUAUGUAUUUUAGAGAAGUGGAAAACGUUUUGUCAGACCUGCUGCUGCCACAGCUUGGCAAGGAACUACUGUUCAGGGAAACCUUUGAGGGAAAGUCGUCUUUAGACCAACUUGGAUGGAUACGACUGGAAUUAGCUUAGCAGGACGGCUGAAGCUCUAUUUGAGCCUCAGACAAACAUUAGAGUAUAUUUUUUCCACAGAAUGGGGGCUUGUGUGUUCUGUCCCUCAUUUUUUAUAGCGCAGUGGAGUUCUGGGUGGAAAGCUUCAGGCUCGGCGUGGAGAGUUGAACUUGAAGCGACUAAGACCUGUUCUCAUGUGCGCUCAUCAGUACUGUUGUAAGAUCAACUUGAAAACUCCAUCAUACUUUAAAA
Molecule: long non-coding RNA, 1794 nt
Organism: Monopterus albus (swamp eel)
Lineage: Eukaryota; Metazoa; Chordata; Actinopteri; Synbranchiformes; Synbranchidae
Exons: 4
Source: RefSeq, a predicted model, not a curated record